GGAGCUACAGAUGAUCCCACUGUAUUUCCUUAAUGAUAUGCACAAACUUAUACAUCUACCAUUUUGUCCUGCCCCCAACCAUCUAAUCCUCAUUAUGCCAGAUGGUCUUUUUGCAGUGCCUCUUGCCAUCUGUCAUCCCAUGAGUCCUUCUCUGGACAGGCCUGCUCAGCACUCCCAGCUUUCUCCAAUCAAGAAGGAUAACGCUGAUGUAUUCCCAGUGUAAUGGAAUAAGAAGUGUUUGCAUGUUUUCUACUUUUCAGGAAUAAGAACUGAAUUGAAAUGGCAAGUAACACCGAAGCUUUCAUUCUGCCUGAGUGACAGCAAUGUGAAACAGAUGACAUAUCUUGAUGACAAUUAUGGUACUACUUGGCAGGAGCAAGUGAAGAAAGAAUUUGGCUUAGUAGCAUUAGAUAGCUGCCCAGACAAACUCUGCAAAGACUAGGAAGGGUUAGAGGCAUCAAGUUACUGCAUACGCAAUUAAUGAAAGAAUUGCAUCAUGCACUUGGGGGAACUCUCAGAUAUUAAGAUAGGACUUACAUGUAUCCCAAGACAUGUCAGUCUUGCAAGUAUUGACUUUUGAGAGGAAAACAAAACAAACAAAAGCUACCCCCCCAAAACCCUCACAUGUGGGGUGUUUUUUAUAUAUUAAAAAAUGAUUGUGUUUUGUCAUAUAACCCUAGAUUAAAACACUUGCUUGGUACUUUGAGAAUUAUGCACAACUUACUGCUGAAGUAGUACUGUUCUCAUGGAUGUAUGAGAAAGAUGAAAAAACCUAAAAUAAUGCAUUCCAAAUGUCAGCAUUUUGGAAUGGUUUUUUCUCAACUCAAACUAAACUACAAAAUGAAUUGAAGUGUAAUAUUGUCUCAUUUUGCAAAUUUAGCAUGAUUAGAAUUCAUGUGCAACUCUAAAAUUAUUCUUUUACAUGAACAUAACAUGCAUUACUAUAAGCAACACAUAUCACAUAAAAAGUCGGUAAAUAUUUUGGUCACCUGCUGUUAGUCAGGUGCUACAAGAAUUGGAUUAAGAGACACAUAGAAU
RNAcentral lists this long non-coding RNA (1038 nucleotides) under Mus spicilegus (steppe mouse). RNAcentral describes it as "lncRNA (ENSMSIG00000029649.1)". Lineage: Eukaryota; Metazoa; Chordata; Mammalia; Rodentia; Muridae. The record is from RNAcentral.